RNAcentral lists this ribosomal RNA (771 nucleotides) under Triticum aestivum (bread wheat). Its description in RNAcentral is "partial small subunit ribosomal RNA". Lineage: Eukaryota; Viridiplantae; Streptophyta; Magnoliopsida; Poales; Poaceae. The record is from RNAcentral.
AUGUCAGGGCUUCGGCGCUGCGGCCGGAGCUGCCGUUCAAGGUGGCUGAACUACCUCCGUCCGGGGCUGAAGCACGGCAACUUCACGCCGGCGGAGGACAGGAUCAUCUGCGAGAUGUACAGAAAGAAAGGAAGCUGCUGGUCCGUCAUCGCCGCCAAGCUCCCCGGGAGGACGGACCUCGCCAUCAAGAACUACUGGAACAGCACGCUCAAGAAGCGGUUCCCCCGCCCCCGCGCGGCGAGGAGCUGCCGCCGCCGCCGCACCGGCGGCACGAGCACGUCGUCCGACGCCACGAGCCUGGACCUCGCGCUGGUGGUCUACGACGAGGAGAGCACCAGCGGCACAGCGCGGGACCUCCCGCUGGUCGUAUGCAACGAGGAGGACAGCGCCACCACGGCGCGGGACCUCCCGCUGGUCGUGUACAACGUCAACGAGGCGAGCGCCACGGCAGGGUCCUCGUCGAGCCACGCCGGCGCCGUCUCGGCCGGACCGCCAGUGCAAGCGCGUGCCCAACCGCCACUGCUGCCCACAGCCGCCGCGAACGAGGAGCCGAUCGCGGCGGUCCCGGUCAGCGGGCCUGUGAAGAUGGAACCGCGGACGCCGCCACCGCCAGCUGAUGAAACCAGCGAGGAGAUGGACAUCAACUGCUGCCCCAUGUCUCCGCUCCCCCUGGGGCUCAUGGAGCCGGAACUUCCUUGCAUUGCCAUGGAUCUGCCUCACAUUGCCGGUUUCGACGACAUCGACAGCCUCCUCUCCUACUUUGACCACUGA